CAAGUCGAACGGUUCAAGAAUUUUAGGAAUAUUGUUCUUGAAUAGUGGCGGAAGGGCGAGUAAUGCGUGGGCAAGCUGCCCACUGGACCGAAGCAACGUCUGGAAACGGACGCUAAUAUCGGGUGUGGCGGGGGAUCGCAUGAUUCCUUAGCGAGAGGUGGCCGCAAGGCUGCCGCCAGUGGAUGUGCCCAUGUGCCAUCAGCUAGUUGGUGAGGUAACGGCUCACCAAGGCUAUGACGGCUAGGUGGACUGAGAGGUUGGUCACCCGCACUGGGACUGAGAUACUGCCCAGACUCCUACGGGAGGCUGCAGUCGAGGAUCAUUUGCAAUGGGGGAAACCCUGACAAUGCGACGCUGCGUGGAGGAUGAAGGUCUUCGGAUUGUAAACUCCUGUCAUGAGGGAGAAGUUGGUAUAGGCUAACACCCUAUACCGUUGAUAGUACUUCAAGAGGAAGGGGUGGCUAACUCUGUGCCAGCAGCCGCGGUAAUACAGAGACCCCAAGCGUUGUUCGGAUUUACUGGGCGUAAAGCGUGCGUAGGUGGCUAUGUAUGUCGGAUGUGAAAUCCUGGGGCUCACCCCCAGAAGUGCAUCCGAAACUGCAUGGCUAGAGACUGGGACGGGAUGUCGGAAUGCAUGGUGUAGCGGUAAAAUGCGUUGAUAUCAUGCGGAACACCGGAGGCGAAGGCGGACAUCUGGAACAGGUCUGACACUGAGGCACGAAAGCGUGGGGAGCAAACAGGAUUAGAUACCCUGGUAGUCCACGCCGUAAACGGUGCACACUUGGUGUGGGAGGAUUAGACCCCUUCUGUGCCGGAGCCAACGCGUUAAGUGUGCCGCCUGGGGAGUACGGCCGCAAGGCUAAAACUCAAAGAAAUUGACGGGGGCCCGCACAAGCGGAGGAGCAUGUGGCUCAAUUCGAUGCUACGCGAAGAACCUUACCCAGACUUGACAUCUAGCUGCACGGUCGGUGAAAGCCGAUCUCCUUCGAGGGUGCUAGACAGGUGCUGCAUGGCUGUCGUCAGUUCGUGCCGUGAGGUGUUCGGUUAAGUCCGAUAACGAACGCAACCCCUGUGUCUAUUUGCCAGCGAGUAAUGUCGGGAACUAUGGACAGACUGCCCGUUUACGCGGGAGGAAGGUGGGGAUGACGUCAAGUCAGUAUGGCCCUUACGUCUGGGGCUGCACACGUGCUACAAUGGUCGGUACAGAGGGACGCCAAACCGCGAGGUGGAGCAAACCCCCAAAACCGGCCCCAGUUCGGAUUGCAGGCUGCAACUCGCCUGCAUGAAGUUGGAUUCGCUAGUAACGGCGCAUCAGCUACGGCGCCGUGAAUACGUUCCCGGGCCUUGUACACACCGCCCGUCACAUCAUGAAAGCUGUCUGCACCCGAAG
This 1390-nucleotide ribosomal RNA is filed under the name uncultured Verrucomicrobiota bacterium. Its description in RNAcentral is "uncultured Verrucomicrobia bacterium 16S ribosomal RNA". It matches the Rfam family "Bacterial small subunit ribosomal RNA", at positions 58 to 1426 of the family's 1533-position model. The record is from RNAcentral. Lineage: Bacteria; Pseudomonadati; Verrucomicrobiota.